RNAcentral lists this ribosomal RNA (273 nucleotides) under uncultured bacterium. RNAcentral describes it as "partial 16S ribosomal RNA". It matches the Rfam family "Bacterial small subunit ribosomal RNA", at positions 524 to 796 of the family's 1533-position model. The record is from RNAcentral.
GACAGAGGCCUCGAGCGUUAGGCGGAAUCACUGGGCUUAAAGCGUGUGUAGGUGGAUGCCUAAGUGCCUUGUGAAAUCCCACGGCUCAACCGUGGAACUGCUUGGCAUACUGGGUGUCUUGAGCCACUUAGGGGUUACCGGAACAAACGGUGGAGCGGUGAAAUGCGUAGAUAUCGUUUGGAACGCCAAUGGUGAAAACAGGUAACUGGGAGUGUGCUGACACUGAGACACGAAAGCCAGGGGAGCGAACGGGAUUAGAAACCCCCGUAGUCC